GACGAACGCUGGCGGCGUGCUUAACACAUGCAAGUCGAGCGGUAAGGCCCUUUCGGGGGUACACGAGCGGCGAACGGGUGAGUAACACGUGGGUGACCUGCCCUUAGCUCUGGGAUAAGCCUGGGAAACUGGGUCUAAUACCGGAUAUGACUCCAUGACGCAUGUUGUGGGGUGGAAAGCCUUGUGCGGCUAGGGAUGGGCCCGCGGCCUAUCAGCUUGUUGGUGGGGUGANGGCCUACCAAGGCGACGACGGGUAGCCGGCCUGAGAGGGCGACCGGCCACACUGGGACUGAGACACGGCCCAGACUCCUACGGGAGGCAGCAGCGGGGAAUCUUGCGCAAUGGGCGAAAGCCUGACGCAGCGACGCCGC
Molecule: ribosomal RNA, 371 nt
Filed under: uncultured bacterium
Lineage: Bacteria
Description: bacterial SSU rRNA
Rfam family: Bacterial small subunit ribosomal RNA
Source: RNAcentral